UACGUAGGGUGCGAGCGUUGUCCGGAAUUAUUGGGCGUAAAGAGCUCGUAGGCGGUGUGUCGCGUCGGCCGUGAAAACCUGGGGCUCAACUCUGGGCGUGCGGUCGAUACGGGCAUCACUUGAGUUCGGCAGGGAGACUGGAAGUUCCUGGUGUAGCGGUGAAAUGCGCAGAUAGUCAGGAGGAACACCGGUGGCGAAGGCGGGUCUCUGGGC
RNAcentral lists this ribosomal RNA (213 nucleotides) under uncultured bacterium. Its description in RNAcentral is "partial 16S ribosomal RNA". It matches the Rfam family "Bacterial small subunit ribosomal RNA", at positions 524 to 734 of the family's 1533-position model. The record is from RNAcentral.